UGGAUCCCAAUUCCAAGAUGCUUCUCGAUGAGAUCGACAAGAAGUUCGCCACGAUGGACAUCGGCGAUUCUAGGAGCUCGCUGACAAGAAGGAAGAGCGGAUCAGCGCUCUUGAGAACGCCAGCGAGGACCUGGCAGCUUGGCGGCCGAAGGUCGAUGCCGCCAUGGACAACAUCAAGUUAGAGAUUCGCAAGCUGAACCAGCACUGGGAGCGCUCUUCUCUAGAGCACCUUGGUGUGGAUUCCGGGACCUCAAGCCCGAGUCGACGCCGCCGCGCUCGUCUGCGGGGAAGCACGUCGACGGCCCUGAUGGGCACCGCCAUGACAACAAUCACCGGGAUCUUGGGUUCGGGUCUGCUACGACCUUUACUCAUGUCCCGGUCAAGGGUUAUAAUACCCGAGAAGACAAGUUUUGUUCAAAGAACUGAAAAAAGGAUGAACUUACUUCAAAGGGUUGAAGAGCAGCAGAAUCUGAGCUUGAAACUUGAGGGGGUUACAUACUAAAGAGAGUGAAAAGAGCUCUCCUUUUGUUAAGGUGGAAUCUGUUAGAUUUAUAUGUACCCUUUAUUUUCCCCAUUGUAUAAGGGGUUUUGUGUAUAUUUGCUAAUACAUGUACAUGUAUAUUUAGGUCUAGAGCUCACGUAUUGAAUACAAAUGUUAUUCGUAACAUGGUAUAGAGCCAAACUAGACGAGAUUUUUCUCCCUGCACGUUGCACUUGCGUGCAUCUCAAUACCAGCCCAACGCAUUGAUUUUACCUGCUCUUUCUUUUGAACACAACGUUGAUUCCUUUUGCCGCCCGUGAUCUGCUCGCCUGGUGCGGGUCGCCCGUUCCACGUCUGCACGCUGCUGUCGCCGUCGUACCGUCGAUCCGCCGCUAUCCUGUGCAUAUUUGUUAAUACAUGUACAUGUUGAAUACAAGUGCUAUUUAUAAUAGAAUCUGUAUGGGGACUUGUAUCAUGUAAAGGGUACAAUAACCUCUUGUGUAGUUAGUAACUUUGUUUAUAUGAUGUUGAUAGUGAAA
Panicum hallii is the source of this 1020-nucleotide long non-coding RNA. RefSeq lists it as uncharacterized. NCBI's taxonomy places the organism in Eukaryota, Viridiplantae, Streptophyta, Magnoliopsida, Poales, Poaceae. The transcript has 3 exons. The record is from RefSeq and is a predicted model, not a curated record.